Molecule: ribosomal RNA, 489 nt
Filed under: uncultured bacterium
Lineage: Bacteria
Description: bacterial SSU rRNA
Rfam family: Bacterial small subunit ribosomal RNA
Source: RNAcentral
UUGAACGCUGGCGGCAGGCCUAACACAUGCAAGUCGAACGGUAACAGGAAGCAGCUUGCUGCUUCGCUGACGAGUGGCGGACGGGUGAGUAAUGUCUGGGAAACUGCCUGAUGGAGGGGGAUAACUACUGGAAACGGUAGCUAAUACCGCAUAACGUCGCAAGACCAAAGAGGGGGACCUUCGGGCCUCUUGCCAUCGGAUGUGCCCAGAUGGGAUUAGCUAGUAGGUGGGGUAACGGCUCACCUAGGCGACGAUCCCUAGCUGGUCUGAGAGGAUGACCAGCCACACUGGAACUGAGACACGGUCCAGACUCCUACGGGAGGCAGCAGUGGGGAAUAUUGCACAAUGGGCGCAAGCCUGAUGCAGCCAUGCCGCGUGUAUGAAGAAGGCCUUCGGGUUGUAAAGUACUUUCAGCGGGGAGGAAGGGAGUAAAGUUAAUACCUUUGCUUAUUGACGUUACCCGCAGAAGAAGCACCGGCUAACUCCGUG